RNAcentral lists this ribosomal RNA (253 nucleotides) under uncultured bacterium. RNAcentral describes it as "partial 16S ribosomal RNA". It matches the Rfam family "Bacterial small subunit ribosomal RNA", at positions 524 to 776 of the family's 1533-position model. The record is from RNAcentral.
UACGGGGGGAGCAAGCGUUGUUCGGAAUCACUGGGCGUAAAGGGCGCGUAGGCGGUUAGGUCAGUGAGAUGUGAAAGACUCCGGCUCACCCGGAGAGAUGCAUCUCAUACUGCCUAGCUAGAGUACAGCAGAGGAAACGAGAAUUCCAGGUGUAGCGGUGAAAUGCGUAGAUAUCUGGAGGAAUACCGGUGGCGAAGGCGCGUUUCUGGGCUGUUACUGACGCUGAUGCGCGAUAGCCAGGGGAGCAAACGGG